RNAcentral lists this transfer RNA (73 nucleotides) under Prevotellaceae bacterium. Its description in RNAcentral is "tRNA-Thr". It matches the Rfam family "tRNA". From Rfam's summary of the family: Transfer RNA (tRNA) molecules are approximately 80 nucleotides in length. Their secondary structure includes four short double-helical elements and three loops (D, anti-codon, and T loops). Further hydrogen bonds mediate the characteristic L-shaped molecular structure. tRNAs have two regions of fundamental functional importance: the anti-codon, which is responsible for specific mRNA codon recognition, and the 3' end, to which the tRNAs corresponding amino acid is attached (by aminoacyl-tRNA synthetases). tRNAs cope with the degeneracy of the genetic code in two manners: having more than one tRNA (with a specific anti-codon) for a particular amino acid; and 'wobble' base-pairing, i.e. permitting non-standard base-pairing at the 3rd anti-codon position. The record is from RNAcentral. RNAcentral also lists the same sequence under 1 other name. Lineage: Bacteria; Pseudomonadati; Bacteroidota; Bacteroidia; Bacteroidales; Prevotellaceae.
GCCGAUAUAGCUCAGUUGGUAGAGCGACGCAUUCGUAAUGCGUAGGUCCUCGGUUCAAGUCCGGGUAUCGGCU